RNAcentral lists this ribosomal RNA (481 nucleotides) under uncultured soil bacterium. Its description in RNAcentral is "bacterial SSU rRNA". It matches the Rfam family "Bacterial small subunit ribosomal RNA", at positions 26 to 518 of the family's 1533-position model. The record is from RNAcentral.
AGGACGAACGCUGGCGGCGUGCUUAACACAUGCAAGUCGAACGGAAAGGCCCUGCUUUUGUGGGGUGCUCGAGUGGCGAACGGGUGAGUAACACGUGAGUAACCUGCCCUUGACUUUGGGAUAACUUCAGGAAACUGGGGCUAAUACCGGAUAGGAGCUCCUGCUGCAUGGUGGGGGUUGGAAAGUUUCGGCGGUUGGGGAUGGACUCGCGGCUUAUCAGCUUGUUGGUGGGGUAGUGGCUUACCAAGGCUUUGACGGGUAGCCGGCCUGAGAGGGUGACCGGCCACAUUGGGACUGAGAUACGGCCCAGACUCCUACGGGAGGCAGCAGUGGGGAAUAUUGCACAAUGGGCGAAGCCUGAUGCAGCAACGCCGCGUGCGGGAUGACGGCCUUCGGGUUCGUAACCGCUUUCGCCUGUGACGAAGCGUGAGUGACGGUAAUGGUAAAGAAGCGACGGACUAACGUACGUGCCAGCAGCCGC